Molecule: ribosomal RNA, 253 nt
Filed under: uncultured bacterium
Lineage: Bacteria
Description: partial 16S ribosomal RNA
Rfam family: Bacterial small subunit ribosomal RNA
Source: RNAcentral
UACAGAGACUGCAAGCGUUAUUCGGAUUCACUGGGCGUAAAGGGUGCGCAGGCGGCCAUGUGUGUGAGGCGUGAAAGCCCGGGGCUUAACCCCGGAAUUGCACCUCAAACUAUAUGGCUAGAGCAUUGGAGAGGGUAGCAGAAUUCACGGUGUAGCAGUGAAAUGCGUAGAUAUCGUGAGGAAUACCAGAGGCGAAGGCGGCUACCUGGACAAUUGCUGACGCUCAGGCACGAAAGCGUGGGGAGCAAAAGGG